AUUGGGAAACAAGGGCAUGAAAUUGUGGCAUGCUUAAAAUGUAGACUCCUACGCCUCGCGAAGCUUGGGAAGCUUCCUUUUUGGAUCUCCUCGCUUCCACGUUUGUCGCUGAUCCAUCCAACAUUACCCCAAACCUUUAAUUUCCAUUCACUUCUUAUAUACAACUUUCUAAUCUCACACUUUAUCUUUUCUCUUUAUUAAUAUCUUAGUAAGCCCUUCACAACAAACAUGAACAAAAUUAAGAUACUUAAGUGAUUUUUUUCUCAUGCUUCUCAUAUGCUUCCUUUGUUGGUCUGGCUCGGAUCAUGUGACUCAUUCCAAAACUUCG
Molecule: long non-coding RNA, 328 nt
Organism: Arabidopsis thaliana (thale cress)
Lineage: Eukaryota; Viridiplantae; Streptophyta; Magnoliopsida; Brassicales; Brassicaceae
Product: other RNA
Exons: 1
Source: RefSeq